GAUGAACGCUGGCGGCGUGCCUAAUACAUGCAAGUCGAGCGAACGGACGAGAAGCUUGCUUCUCUGAUGUUAGCGGCGGACGGGUGAGUAACACGUGGAUAACCUACCUAUAAGACUGGGAUAACUUCGGGAAACCGUAGCUAAUACCGGAUAAUAUUUUGAACCGCAUGGUUCAAAAGUGAAAGACGGUCUUGCUGUCACUUAUAGAUGGAUCCGCGCUCCAUUAGCUAGUUGGUAAGGUAACGGCUUACCAAGGCAACGAUGCAUAGCCGACCUGAGAGGGUGAUCGGCCACACUGGAACUGAGACACGGUCCAGACUCCUACGGGAGGCAGCAGUAGGGAAUCUUCCGCAAUGGGCGAAAGCCUGACGGAGCAACGCCGCGUGAGUGAUGAAGGUCUUCGGAUCGUAAAACUCUGUUAUUAGGGAAGAACAUAUGUGUAAGUAACUGUGCACAUCUUGACGGUACCUAAUCAGAAAGCCACGGCUAACUACGUG
RNAcentral lists this ribosomal RNA (497 nucleotides) under uncultured bacterium. RNAcentral's name for it is "partial 16S ribosomal RNA". It matches the Rfam family "Bacterial small subunit ribosomal RNA", at positions 28 to 507 of the family's 1533-position model. The record is from RNAcentral.